UUACGGCCAAAUCACGUUGAAAUAUCGGAUCCCAUACGAUCAGCGAAGCUAAGCAAUGUCAACCCUGGAUAGUACCUGGAUGGAUGACUACUUGAGAAUAUCAGGUGAUGUAAGC
Molecule: non-coding RNA, 115 nt
Organism: Acanthosepion pharaonis
Lineage: Eukaryota; Metazoa; Mollusca; Cephalopoda; Sepiida; Sepiidae
Source: the annotation of a GenBank genome assembly